GACUCUCGGCAACGGAUAUCUCGGCUCUUGCAUCGAUGAAGAACGUAGCGAAAUGCGAUACUUGGUGUGAAUUGCAGAAUCUGAAUGGUCCGGUGAAGUGUUCGGAUUGCGGCGACGUGGGCGGUUCGCUGCCCUUGACGUUGUGAGAAGUCC
RNAcentral lists this ribosomal RNA (153 nucleotides) under Cajanus cajan (pigeon pea). Its description in RNAcentral is "5.8S ribosomal RNA". It matches the Rfam family "5.8S ribosomal RNA". Rfam says of the family: 5.8S ribosomal RNA (5.8S rRNA) is a component of the large subunit of the eukaryotic ribosome. The record is from Rfam by way of RNAcentral. Lineage: Eukaryota; Viridiplantae; Streptophyta; Magnoliopsida; Fabales; Fabaceae.